This 503-nucleotide ribosomal RNA is filed under the name uncultured bacterium. Its description in RNAcentral is "bacterial SSU rRNA". It matches the Rfam family "Bacterial small subunit ribosomal RNA", at positions 30 to 526 of the family's 1533-position model. The record is from RNAcentral.
AUUGAACGCUGGCGGCAUGCUUUACACAUGCAAGUCGAACGAUGAAAUCCAGCUUGCUGGAUGGAUUAGUGGCGAACGGGUGAGUAAUACAUCGGAACGUACCCUGUAGUGGGGGAUAACUACUCGAAAGAGUGGCUAAUACCGCAUACGACCUGAGGGUGAAAGUGGGGGACCGCAAGGCCUCACGCUAUAGGAGCGGCCGAUGGAAGAUUAGCUAGUUGGUGGGGUAAAGGCUCACCAAGGCGACGAUCUUUAGCGGGUCUGAGAGGACGAUCCGCCACACUGGGACUGAGACACGGCCCAGACUCCUACGGGAGGCAGCAGUGGGGAAUUUUGGACAAUGGGCGAAAGCCUGAUCCAGCAAUGCCGCGUGAGUGAAGAAGGCCUUCGGGUUGUAAAGCUCUUUUGUUUGGGAAGAAAUCUUAAAGGCUAAUACCCUUUGGGGAUGACGGUACCAAAAGAAUAAGCACCGGCUAACUACGUGCCAGCAGCCGCGGUAAAAC